UCUGCUAAGGGGAGGGGUCUGGGGA
RNAcentral lists this unclassified non-coding RNA (25 nucleotides) under Mus musculus (house mouse). RNAcentral's name for it is "oocyte_clustered_small_RNA7954". Lineage: Eukaryota; Metazoa; Chordata; Mammalia; Rodentia; Muridae. The record is from RNAcentral.